AUGUUCUUGCUGUCAAAGACCAUGAUUGCAAGAUUGGAUAAACACAGAAGGAGAUUCUUUUGGCAAGUUACUAAGAAUAGAAAAAGGUAUUAUUUGGUCAAAUGGACCAGAAUCUGUCGAUCUAAAAACAAAGGGGGGCUGGGAGUUAAAGACUUGCAUAAACAGAAUCUCAGUUUGCUCACCAAGUGGUGGUGGAAACUGGAGACCAAAAAAGGUUUAUGGCAAGAUAUUAUUAAGGCUAGAUAUCUUCGUAGAGAUACUAUUGCCUCGGUUAAAGGGAAAAUCAGCGACUCCCCUUGUUGGAAGGCGAUAAUGAAAUUAAAAGACCUUUAUAUGGCAGGUAGACGUGUGGUGAUACAAUCUGGCAAUAUUGCCAGGCUUUGGAGGGAUCCUGUUGGGAUCAAUUACCAUUUUGUGAACAAUUCCCCAGAUUGUCAAUACCUGCCUAUCGGCUGA
RNAcentral lists this ribosomal RNA (456 nucleotides) under Triticum aestivum (bread wheat). Its description in RNAcentral is "partial small subunit ribosomal RNA". The record is from RNAcentral. Lineage: Eukaryota; Viridiplantae; Streptophyta; Magnoliopsida; Poales; Poaceae.